AUGCCCAUGAAUAGGGUUGACUUCCAGUACCCGAAGCCUACCCCCAAGUUAGUGCCAUCUUGGUUCCAGCACUCAUGGUCUGCUCCUGGGCUCCCGGCAUCCAAAGAUGUUUGUUUGUUCCUGCUUUCUGGAGAUGCUCAGGCCCUUUCAUUUUGUAGAAGGGUAGAUUGGAUGCUCAUGCACCUAUUGUUUUCUUCAGUGGGAGGUGCUCAAGGCUACAGAUGGCCCCUAACCCCCAGCCGGAUGAACCCUUGUGGCUUAAUGUGGCAUUUCAUGGAUGAAGUGCCCCAGCAGCUCUUAGAGGGAGACAGACCUAGACCCUUCUUGAAAUGGAAAUUAGUGUGUCUCUCAGAGAAGCUGAUUCCUACUUCCUGGUCCACCCUGGAGAGUGGGCCUUUCCUCUUGCUUCCUGGUUCCUAUUCCCUCUUCCUGUUCUUCCUGUAA
RNAcentral lists this long non-coding RNA (444 nucleotides) under Callithrix jacchus (white-tufted-ear marmoset). Its description in RNAcentral is "lncRNA (ENSCJAG00000057421.2)". Lineage: Eukaryota; Metazoa; Chordata; Mammalia; Primates; Cebidae. The record is from RNAcentral.